Molecule: ribosomal RNA, 626 nt
Filed under: uncultured bacterium
Lineage: Bacteria
Description: bacterial SSU rRNA
Rfam family: Bacterial small subunit ribosomal RNA
Source: RNAcentral
CCUACGGGAGGCAGCAGUGGGGAAUUUUGGACAAUGGGCGCAAGCCUGAUCCAGCAAUGCCGCGUGAGUGAAGAAGGCCUUCGGGUUGUAAAGCUCUUUUGUCAGGGAAGAAACGGUGGGAGCUAAUAUCUCCUACUAAUGACGGUACCUGAAGAAUAAGCACCGGCUAACUACGUGCCAGCAGCCGCGGUAAUACGUAGGGUGCAAGCGUUAAUCGGAAUUACUGGGCGUAAAGCGUGCGCAGGCGGUUUUGUAAGUCUGUCGUGAAAGCCCCGGGCUCAACCUGGGAAUUGCGAUGGAGACUGCGAGGCUUGAAUCUGGCAGAGGGGGGUAGAAUUCCACGUGUAGCAGUGAAAUGCGUAGAGAUGUGGAGGAACACCGAUGGCGAAGGCAGCCCCCUGGGUCAAGAUUGACGCUCAUGCACGAAAGCGUGGGGAGCAAACAGGAUUAGAUACCCUGGUAGUCCACGCCCUAAACGAUGUCUACUAGUUGUCGGGUUUUAAUUAACUUGGUUAACGCAGCUAACGCGUGAAGUAGACCGCCUGGGGAGUACGGUCGCAAAGAUUAAAAACGUCAAAAGGAAAUUGACGGCUGAGAGNGACGACGGACGACGACGAGGGAGGAGG